UAGAGCUUUCAUCCGAGAUGUAACUGUUCU
RNAcentral lists this non-coding RNA (30 nucleotides) under Rattus norvegicus (Norway rat). Lineage: Eukaryota; Metazoa; Chordata; Mammalia; Rodentia; Muridae. The record is from RNAcentral.